GGGGUCGUGGCUCAGUGGCAGAGCGUUUGCUCUGCAUGCAGAAGGUUGCAGGUUCAAUCCUAGCAUCUCCA
This is a non-coding RNA of Podarcis lilfordi (Lilford's wall lizard), 71 nucleotides long. The record is from the annotation of a GenBank genome assembly. NCBI's taxonomy places the organism in Eukaryota, Metazoa, Chordata, Lepidosauria, Squamata, Lacertidae.